Molecule: ribosomal RNA, 477 nt
Filed under: uncultured bacterium
Lineage: Bacteria
Description: partial 16S ribosomal RNA
Rfam family: Bacterial small subunit ribosomal RNA
Source: RNAcentral
GAUGAACGCUGGCGGCGUGCCUAAUACAUGCAAGUCGAGCGAACAGACGAGGAGCUUGCUCCUCUGACGUUAGCGGCGGACGGGUGAGUAACACGUGGAUAACCUACCUAUAAGACUGGGAUAACUUCGGGACACCGGAGCUAAUACCGGAUAAUAUAUUGAACCGCAUGGUUCAAUAGUGAAAGACGGUUUUGCUGUCGCUUGUGGAUGGAUCCGCGCCGCAUUAGCUAGUUGGUGGGGUAGCGGCUUACCAAGGCAAUGAUGCGUAGCCGGCCUGAGAGGGUGAGCGGCCACAUUGGGACUGAGAUACGGCCCAGACUCCUACGGGAGGCAGCAGUGGGGAAUAGUGAACAAUGGGCGGAAGACUGAUGAAGCAACGCCGCGUGCGGGAUGACGGCCUUCGGGUUGUAAACCGCUUUCGCCUGUGAAGAAGCGUGAGUGACGGUAAUGGGUAAAGAAGCACCGGCUAACUACGUG